RNAcentral lists this unclassified non-coding RNA (263 nucleotides) under plant metagenome. RNAcentral's name for it is "partial contains small subunit ribosomal RNA, internal transcribed spacer 1, and 5.8S ribosomal RNA". The record is from RNAcentral.
UUUCCGUAGGUGAACCUGCGGAAGGAUCAUUAUUGUAUAACCGAGGUGCGAGGGCUGUCGCUGACCCGAAAGGUCGUGCACGCCCGAGUGCCCUCACACACAUCCAUCUCACCCCUAUGUGCACCACCGCGCGGGUCCCCCUUUGGCUUGUUCGGAGGGGGGCUUACGCUUUCACACAAACUUUGUAUGCAGUGUAGAAUGUAUUUUUUGUUUUUGCGAUCACGCAAUCAAUACAACUUUCAACAACGGAUCUCUUGGCUCUC